UCCCCCACACUGGAACUGAGACACGGUCCAGACUCCUACGGGAGGCAGCAGUAAGGAAUAUUGGUCAAUGGACGCAAGUCUGAACCAGCCAUGCCGCGUGCAGGAAGACGGCCUUAUGGGUUGUAAACUGCUUUUAUUAGAGGAUAAAAUGAGGUACGUGUACUUCAUUGCAGGUAUCUAAUGAAUAAGGAUCGGCUAACUCCGUGCCAGCAGCCGCGGUAAUACGGAGGAUCCGAGCGUUAUCCGGAUUUAUUGGGUUUAAAGGGUGCGCAGGCGGACGCAUAAGUCAGCGGUGAAAUUUACAUGCUUAACAUGUAUCGUGCCGUUGAUACUGUGCGACUAGUAUUCAAAUGACGUAGCUGGAAUGUGUUAUGUAGCGGUGAAAUGCAUAGAUAUAACACAGAACACCGAUCGUGAAGACAGGUUACGAAUUUGUGAUAGACGCUCAUGCACGAAAGCGUGGGGAUCAAACAGGAUUAGAUACCCUGGUAGUCCACGCCGUAAACGAUGAUAACUCGUUGUUGGACAUUUAUGUUCAGUGGCUAAGCGAAAGCGAUAAGUUAUCCACCUGGGGAGUACGAUCGCAAGGUUGAAACUCAAAGGAAUUGACGGGGGCCCGCACAAGCGGAGGAGCAUGUGGUUUAAUUCGAUGAUACGCGAGGAACCUUACCCGGGCUCGAACGUAUGAUGAAUAAUGUGGAAACAUGUUAGUCGAAAGACAUUAUACGAGGUGCUGCAUGGUUGUCGUCAGCUCGUGCCGUGAGGUGUCAGGUUAAGUCCUAUAACGAGCGCAACCCCUACUGUUAGUUGCCAUCAGGUUAAGCUGGGGACUCUAGCGGAACUGCCUACGCAAGUAGAGAGGAAGGUGGGGAUGACGUCAAAUCAGCACGGCCCUUAUGUCCGGGGCGACACACGUGCUACAAUGGUCAAUACAGAGGGUCGCUACUUGGUAACAAGAUGCCAAUCUCAAAAGUUGAUCUCAGUUCGGAUCGGAGUCUGUAACUCGACUCCGUGAAGUUGGAUUCGCUAGUAAUCGCAUAUCAGCCAUGAUGCGGUGAAUACGUUCCCGGGCCUUGUACACACCGCCCGUCAAGCCAUGGAAGUUGGGGGUACCUAAAGAAUGUGACCGCGAGGAGCGUUCUAUGGUAAACUUGAUAACUGGGGCUAAGUCGUAACAAGGUAGCCGUACCGGAAGGUGUGGCUG
This 1204-nucleotide ribosomal RNA is filed under the name Ephemera danica. Its description in RNAcentral is "bacterial SSU rRNA". It matches the Rfam family "Bacterial small subunit ribosomal RNA", at positions 304 to 1520 of the family's 1533-position model. The record is from RNAcentral. Lineage: Eukaryota; Metazoa; Arthropoda; Insecta; Ephemeroptera; Ephemeridae.